UAAUCUGUCAGAUUUGUACCACACAAAACAAAUUUCAUAACAAAAUAAUCGGUUUUAACAAAGCUGUGGACAAACGGCGAAUCGAAGCUGGACGGUUUUCGCGCUCGCCUUUUUUGUCCCUGGUGGGCUCCCCUCUGUCUCCAUGGUAACGCAGCCGCCGCCAUAGCGCGAGCGUUGUCUUGUUUUUGAGCAGUAGCAGCGCGGCGGGUCCAGAGAAACUGCUUUCUUCCACAUUUAACGAUAAAACCUGACAAAUUUUAACAGGUAACUGCAGUUAUGCCAAAACGGAUUCAUCAGGAAUAACAACGUUUCAGCGCGAACGAUACAAAACGAGCUAAAGAUGACAGAAUAAGACACUCCCGAGGCUCCUCUGACUUCAGAAAAACACAAUGCUGGUGUUGCCUGUUUGGAGGCUUGCAAUCCCUCUGCCUGCAGUGCUGAUGAUCACUGUGAGCCUGUACAUGAUCCUCCUAGGGAUUGGGCUCUGGAUCCGAUACUGCCUCAAGGACUACUGUUCUUUAGAGUGCAGUGAAUGCUGUGCAGGCCUCUCUGUGUGCGAGCAGUGCAUCAGACUGGGUGAAAUGUGCGACUGCCGGCUGCCGGCUGUGGGACCGUUCCUGGCUGAAUCGUGCUCUCCGGCUUCUUGCUCCAGGUGGGACUGUGCCUGUACCUGCCAGGUUCCUGACUGUGACACCUGCAACUGUUUAUGCUUCGAGAUCAGGAUGAAGUAGGAGACGAGGAUGGAAGUGCUCAUCCACCGAACUAAUUUUAUACUUGUUAUAGCAUUUACAGCGGAGAUGGAGGUGGCUGCACACAGAACCGGCCUUACACCUUCUCUUCUGAGUCAUUCACUGACUUUUUCUCUUUGACUCUUUGAGACUGAACAUUUUUCUUUCAUUGCCAGAGAAUAGGUUGCCUUGCCGCUGAUAGGCUAACCGGUAGCUGUGUGCUGAUAUAUUUCUUCUGUAAAUGUGGCUCAAUAAUCACUAUGGUUGGCUGGCCUUUUCUACAACAUCACACUGCUGCUCUAUACACUAAUUUCCGCUAAUUUAAGAGACUACCCACCACCACUAUCACAUAUCCUCUAGGUUUACUAUAAUUACUGCCUUUGGACCAUCUGUGUGUUCAUCUGAGUAGCUGCAUCGAUCUUACUCGGAUCACACGGAGCUGACUGAAUGGGCAGGUUUUCGCUUCCUUCCUGAUCAGGGUCCGCCCUUGGUGGAUUGUGAUAAUGUCGACUGUAGGUCUCUAAAACGGUGCCAUUAUCCCCCAGCAGCGGGUCUUGGAUUAAAAGCAUCAACGCCAAAAGAGACCUUGUGCCUUUUGAAAUGGCCUGAGGUCACGCCGAGCUGAUGUCUGUUUUGCUGAAAGUACCUUCAGUACCUUGUUUUUAAUGAAUGCUUUAUUAAACCCGCAUUUACACCACAGAAGCUUCUUCUUGUUUUAUCUCCUCCCACUAAAACCUGCAUCCUCAGGAGGUAGCUGCAAAGUUACAGCUGAGUUUGCACACAGUGCCAUAUGUACAUGAGCAUGUUCAGGGAUUGUACUCCUGUUUAUGUUUCCAGGACAGUACUGCAAACAGGAAGGAUUUCCACGUCAUCUCAAAGCAAAAAAACAGACACAUUUUGUGUUUACCCCAC
Molecule: long non-coding RNA, 1640 nt
Organism: Oreochromis aureus
Lineage: Eukaryota; Metazoa; Chordata; Actinopteri; Cichliformes; Cichlidae
Source: Ensembl